GUAGGUGGCAAGCGUUGUCCGGAAUUAUUGGGCGUAAAGCGCGCGCAGGCGGUUCUCUAAGUCUGAUGUGAAAGCCCACGGCUCAACCGUGGAGGGUCAUUGGAAACUGGAGAACUUGAGUACAGAAGAGGAAAGCGGAAUUCCACGUGUAGCGGUGAAAUGCGUAGAGAUGUGGAGGAACACCAGUGGCGAAGGCGGCUUUCUGGUCUGUAACUGACGCUGAGGCGCGAAAGCGUGGGGGAGCAAACAGGAUUAGAUACCCUGGUAGUCCACGCCGUAAACGAUGAGUGCUAAGUGUUAGGGGGUUUCCGCCCCUUAGUGCUGCAGCUAACGCAUUAAGCACUCCGCCUGGGAGUACGGCCGCAAGGCUG
RNAcentral lists this ribosomal RNA (371 nucleotides) under uncultured organism. Its description in RNAcentral is "partial 16S ribosomal RNA". It matches the Rfam family "Bacterial small subunit ribosomal RNA", at positions 527 to 896 of the family's 1533-position model. The record is from RNAcentral.